GAGGUCUUACUAAGCAAAGGAUGGUUGUCGUGACCGCCUCGCUGAUGAACUCCAAGGCAGGGGAGUUCAUGGGCUUUCCUGGAGACAAGACCCUCCAGGAACUUCUCACCCCUCUCUGAGUGAAAGCCCAAGACCUCACACCCCCUGCAAGGCCGCUGUAGAUCCUGCCCUGCCUCUCUUU
Long non-coding RNA from Capra hircus (goat), 181 nucleotides. RefSeq lists it as uncharacterized. The transcript is spliced from 3 exons. Lineage: Eukaryota; Metazoa; Chordata; Mammalia; Artiodactyla; Bovidae. The record is from RefSeq and is a predicted model, not a curated record.